Molecule: ribosomal RNA, 441 nt
Filed under: uncultured bacterium
Lineage: Bacteria
Description: bacterial SSU rRNA
Rfam family: Bacterial small subunit ribosomal RNA
Source: RNAcentral
CCUACGGGGGGCAGCAGUAGGGAAUAUUGGGCAAUGGGCGAAAGCCUGACCCAGCAACGCCGCGUGCACGAUGAAGGCCUUCGGGUCGUAAAGUGCUUUUCUGAGGGAUGAGUAAGGACAGUACCUCAGGAAUAAGCCUCGGCUAACUACGUGCCAGCAGCCGCGGUAAAACGUAGGAGGCGAGCGUUAUCCGGAUUUACUGGGCGUAAAGCGUGUGUAGGCGGUUCGGCAAGUUGGAUGUGAAAGCUCCUGGCUUAACUAGGAGAGGUCGUUCAAUACUACCGAACUUGAGGGCAUCAGAGGAGAGUGGAAUUCCCGGUGUAGUGGUGAAAUGCGUAGAUAUCGGGAGGAACACCAGUGGCGAAAGCGGCUCUCUGGGAUGAUCCUGACGCUCAGACACGAAAGCUAGGGUAGCGAACGGGAUUAGAUACCCGGGUAGUC